GACGAACGCUGACGGUGUGCUUUAGACAUGCAAGUCGAACGAGAAAGCCCUUCGGGUUAGUAAAGUGGCGAACGGGUGAGUAACACGUGGGCAAUCUGCCCCUCGCAGGGGGACAACCGGAGGAACUCCGGCUAAUACCCCGUAAGUUCAAAGGGAGGCAUCUCUCUUCGAAGAAAGGUAGCUUCGGCCAUCCGGCGAGGGAUGAGCCCGCGGUGCAUUAGCUAGUUGGUGGGGUAACGGCCUACCAAGGCGACGAUGCAUAGCUGGUCUGAGAGGAUGAUCAGCCACACUGGGACUGAGACACGGCCCAGACUCCUACGGGAGGCAGCAGUCGGGAAUCUUGCG
RNAcentral lists this ribosomal RNA (345 nucleotides) under uncultured bacterium. Its description in RNAcentral is "bacterial SSU rRNA". It matches the Rfam family "Bacterial small subunit ribosomal RNA", at positions 28 to 368 of the family's 1533-position model. The record is from RNAcentral.